CAGUCGCCGCGGUAAUACGUAGGGUGCAAGCGUUAAUCGGAAUUACUGGGCGUAAAGCGUGCGCAGGCGGUUAUAUAAGACAGAUGUGAAAUCCCCGGGCUCAACCUGGGAACUGCAUUUGUGACUGUAUAGCUAGAGUACGGCAGAGGGGGAUGGAAUUCCGCGUGUAGCAGUGAAAUGCGUAGAUAUGCGGAGGAACACCGAUGGCGAAGGCAAUCCCCUGGGCCUGUACUGACGCUCAUGCACGAAAGCGUGGGGAGCAAACAGGAUUAGAUACCCGUGUAGUCCCUGUCACUUAUAC
Molecule: ribosomal RNA, 301 nt
Filed under: uncultured bacterium
Lineage: Bacteria
Description: partial 16S ribosomal RNA
Rfam family: Bacterial small subunit ribosomal RNA
Source: RNAcentral